This 378-nucleotide unclassified non-coding RNA is filed under the name plant metagenome. RNAcentral describes it as "partial contains 5.8S ribosomal RNA, internal transcribed spacer 2, and large subunit ribosomal RNA". The stretch from base 1 to 105 matches the Rfam family "5.8S ribosomal RNA", at positions 50 to 154 of the family's 154-position model. The record is from RNAcentral.
GAAAUGCGAUAAGUAAUGUGAAUUGCAGAAUUCAGUCAAUCAUCGAAUCUUUGAACGCACCUUGCGCUCCUUGGUAUUCCUUGGAGCAUGCCUGUUUGAGUAUCAUGAAAUCUUCAAAGUAAAUCUUUUGUUAACUCAAUUGGUUUCUACUUUGGUAUUGGAGGUCUUUGCAGCUUCACACCUGCUCCUCUUUGUUCAUUAGCUGGAUCUCAGUGUUAUGCUUGGUUCCACUCGGCGUGAUAAGUUAUCUAUCGCUGAGGACACUGUAAAAGGUGGCCAAGGUAAAUGCAGAUGAACCGCUUCUAAUAGUCCAUUGACUUGAACAAUACUUUUAUGAUCUGAUCUCAAAUCAGGUAGGACUACCCGCUGAACUUAAGC